Long non-coding RNA from Etheostoma cragini (Arkansas darter), 142 nucleotides. RefSeq lists it as uncharacterized. Lineage: Eukaryota; Metazoa; Chordata; Actinopteri; Perciformes; Percidae. The transcript is spliced from 3 exons. The record is from RefSeq and is a predicted model, not a curated record.
UUGGCGCUGCUGUCGUUGGUGCUGCCGUGGUAGGUGCUGCUGUUGUAGGUGCGGCAGUUGUAGGUGCGGCUGUUGUAGGUGCGGAAGUUGUAGGUGCUUCUGUUGUAGGUGCAGCAGUUGUAGGUGCUGCUCUAAUAGGUGU